Molecule: non-coding RNA, 29 nt
Filed under: Mus musculus (house mouse)
Lineage: Eukaryota; Metazoa; Chordata; Mammalia; Rodentia; Muridae
Source: RNAcentral
UGGUCACUUUGAUCACUCAUCACUUCUGU